AUAAAUACCAACAAGGUCAAAGAGAUGGUUUGUGUAGAAAAGGAAAUGAGGAAAACUUGGCUCUGGUUCAACUUCAAUAGUUCAUUUCUACUUCCUACUAAGAGCUUCAACUUCAAGAACUCAUUUUUAUUUUCAUCUAAAUGCAGUUCUCUUAAUGUUAGAAACAAAGGGAGUAGAAGUGGAUUGGUGAAUCUUUACAAGGAUAUGGAGGCUUGUGCAGGAUACAAUGAUAUACAAGUUAUGUGGGAGAUGAUUCACUCCAAUGUCAAUGAAACCAAAUGCAAGAAAAGGCCUCUUUGUUGGAGAUUUCUUAACAAAAUUAGAGUUUAAUACAUAUAGAAUGUGCUUGUUUCUUUCUCAAAUGAAUUGAGACCUCAUUAAGUAUAAGUCAAGUUUGCUUAGACAUCAUCUAGUUGUUUUGAUUAUGUCCUCUGUUCCAUCAUUGUGCAUUGGAUGGACGAUGAGGGCUCGUAUUGACUAUGAUAAGAUCUUUACUCAUAGUUGGUGCAGUCACAUGUAAGUCAUAAGUGGAAUGGAACUUUUGAAUUGUGGGUA
Long non-coding RNA from Solanum pennellii, 555 nucleotides. RefSeq lists it as uncharacterized. NCBI's taxonomy places the organism in Eukaryota, Viridiplantae, Streptophyta, Magnoliopsida, Solanales, Solanaceae. The record is from RefSeq and is a predicted model, not a curated record. The transcript is spliced from 2 exons.